Molecule: long non-coding RNA, 811 nt
Organism: Peromyscus eremicus (cactus mouse)
Lineage: Eukaryota; Metazoa; Chordata; Mammalia; Rodentia; Cricetidae
Exons: 3
Source: RefSeq, a predicted model, not a curated record
UCCACAGAUGAUGGGGAGAACUCAUAAAAUAUUUUAAUCUUUCCUUGUCAGACUUCAGAAAUGCGGACAGCCUUGUCUUCAUUUUCUUUAUGCCCUGGACUUCUAAUUGAGGGAGCUGGCAUCAAUUAUGCAUCCAGCCAGAGAUAUAUCCACUAAGAAAAAAAGCAGAAGUUACUUUCCAAUGAAUACAUGCAGGAAAUUCAUCAUCAUAGCAGGAAACUCAGUGUCCAGUGCCCUGUGCAGAGGCAGAAGCCAAAGGAGCCAACACAAAACAGUGUGAGGUAUUACUGUUCCUGGGAAGUGGUGCCUCCUGGGGUCCCACUGCAUCUCUGGGCCCUGCAACGGAGUGAAGAAAAUGUGAAGUACUGAGACAAACAAGAAAGGGUGAUGUGCCUCGUUUAUGUGUAUUUCUUCAACUCCAAAUCCCUUCUGAUCCUCGCACAGGACUCUGUCGCCUUAGAGGAGACAGUACUCCAGGUUUCUUCCACAUUGACUCCAUGACCUUUGAGGUGCUUCCUCUGGGAGGAUCCAGAUGUGCUGCUGGCAUCGAGAGAAGUUUUUCAAGGGAUGUGCCAUCUAGUGGCCCCUAUAGUGAACUGCAGCCUGCCUCUCAGCCUGCCCGUUGCUAAGGGCCGCAGCUGCAGCACUUCAUCUCCCUGUCUUGAGGCAGAGAAUUAUGGGAUGUUUACACAGAGAGCGACCUCCAGAGAUUUCCUGUCAAGACAUCUGCCUCCAACCAGCACGAACAAUAUGUCUUAUGCUUAUAGUGUUGUAUAAAACAGUUACAAAUAGUACCACGGUUUAAUUCUCA